Pan troglodytes (chimpanzee) is the source of this 1670-nucleotide long non-coding RNA. RefSeq lists it as uncharacterized. The transcript has 5 exons. The record is from RefSeq and is a predicted model, not a curated record. Lineage: Eukaryota; Metazoa; Chordata; Mammalia; Primates; Hominidae.
UGUGGGUACCACAUCAUUUGUUUCCCUUGACUCUGGCGUCACAAACACAGCUUCUUGGAAUCUCAUGCCUGUUACUGGCUGUGUGAUCUGGAGCAACUGGGUUCACCUCUCUGAGCCUUUAUUUCCCACAUCUGCAAAGUGGUGCACAGUAAUACCCACGUUCCUGGCUCUGUGUAAGGAGCCAUGAGAAUGCAUUUAAAGGGCCCAGCACCCAGCUGCUCUCAGUAGAUGCUCAAGAGACAGUAACAACCCUAUCAUUAUAUGAGGUUCAUUGCAACUCAUCUGAUUCCCCUUCCAGUGGCUGGAGAACAUCCCACCUUCUGACCCUUGGGGAGAAGCAGAGUGUGCCCUUUCCCUGCCCACUGGAGAAGCUGAAACAACAAAAACUCCCUUCCCUGGCCUCCCUGCAGGAGACUCCAGGAAGACUCCUGAAUGCCACACACUCCUAAACCUGAGAGACCUUCAUGCAGAUUGGGGAGCAGCUUUAGGACUGCUGGGUGGAGCCACAGUGAGACAGAUAAGCUCCAGGAAAAUAAGAACUGCCAAAACAAUAGAGCCACCCAACAAAAAAAGGGGCUGCUACUGCAAGUGUAAGUCAAAGAUGGUGUCGAAAAUGGUGAAAUCAAGAACUAGUGCUUAGAAUUACGGAGAUUUAAAAACAGAAGAGACACCUCCCAGAGUUGCAAGUGGUCGCCUGUCCCAGAGAGCUGGUGAGAUGAGGUGGGGAGGCGGCAGCUGAGUUUUAUGAACUUGCCCCUGAAAUGGGCUAUGACUCAUUGAACUAUAAUUAGCCCCGUUUUGCAAGUGAGAAAGUGGAGUUCGAAGAUGUCAUCAGCCCAGGUCACACAGAUGGUGGAGACCAGUGUGGAGCCUGGGAGUGGGCUGAGCAGAGCAUCUGGACUUUGAGCUUCCAUCAGACCCCGAGAUAGUCACCUGUCCUGGCUGCCUGGUGACCCUGGUGUGCUAACUUGGCACUUAUCUUGCUCUAUGAAGGCCCCUGAGCCCCCUAAACACCAGAUGGGUGGCUUCAGCCAGCCCCAUACUGACCUGUGAAGCCCAGGUAUUGCUGGCCAACCCACCCCACUCACAGACAGAAGCAGUUCUCCGUCUUUUGGCUUUAGCAGAUCUGCUUCAUUUCUCCUCCCCACAAAGCCUGGACUUUGUUCUGGGGGUAUCCCUGUUUGCAGUGAAGCUUUUUCACUCAGUGCUCAAUCUGAUCCCAACUCCACCCCACAUCUCUGACUGCAUAGACCUUUGUGACUGCCUUGACCAGUAGAGUAUGGCAGAAGAUGCUCUGUAACUUCCCAGGCUAGAUCUAGAAAAUGCCACGCAUUUCUGCCUUGCUCUCCUGGGACAUCCACUCUUAGAACCCAGCUGCCGUGCUAAAAAGAACUCACAGACCACGUGGAGUGGAGCAGACGGGUCAGUGUCCCAGGUGGCAGCCCGUGUCAGCCUCAGACCUGCACGUGAGGAUGCCCACCAGAGGGUUCCUGCCACCACCGUCAAGUCACCCCAGGCUUCAUCUUCCAGCCGGCGCCUCAGGCAUUAUGGGCAGAGGUAAACUGUCUCCAUGAUGCCCUUUCCAAAUUUCUGACCCACAGAAUCCAUGACUAUAAUAAAAUGGCUGUUUUAUGUGCUCAAUUUUGGGGUGGUUUGUAGCAUAGCAGUAU